This 21-nucleotide unclassified non-coding RNA is filed under the name synthetic construct. The record is from RNAcentral.
GUUCCAUUGGCUCUGGUGCUU